GAGAUGGAGGUGGAGUCAAGAAGAAAAAGGAGGUUUCUGUUACUGUCUCUUGAUUUCCUGAUGCCCACAUUUUCCCCCUAGAGCCUUUCAUAGAAGUUUCAGAAAGACAGCUCUAAGUGCUUUGUACUUACUUAAUAAGGAGCUUGCUAUAGCUGUUCCCAAUGAGACUAGAAAGCUAUAGCCUAGGGCACUAGGUAGAGCUCCCCCAUGCGGAGUAAAGGGCUGCCAUUCUCAGAGAAAGGAGGUGAAGUUUUCCUCCAUGGCCCCUUUGCAUUCCUUUGCUGCCUUCCUCCUGGGAGUCAAUAGUACUAGAAGUUAGACCUUCUCCUCUUGGAUGGGGCAGUGUCUAGGUCCAGCCCGGCUCUCCUGAAGGACACAGGAUAUCAUCUGU
Molecule: long non-coding RNA, 391 nt
Filed under: Rattus norvegicus (Norway rat)
Lineage: Eukaryota; Metazoa; Chordata; Mammalia; Rodentia; Muridae
Description: long non-coding RNA NONRATT013075
Source: RNAcentral